GAAGGAAAAAAAAAAAAAAAGCUGCUUUCCCUUUAAACAGCACAAAGGAUAGGAAAAACUACUGCAUUACUCCAAAUUAUUUGCAGCUUUGGUGUUGCCAACAUAGAACAGUUGCAAUUCAAGAAUAUGUUUUGAAUUAUCAUAGAUCAGUUUUUACAAAUCAGCACUCUUUGUAACAGCUUUCAAAGAAUAAAAGAAUACAGCCGUGGGAAUUCAUAUUUAUGGCUGAUGAGCUAGCAAGGUGAGCACAUCCAGGGGCUUAGACACACAAACAGGAUACCACAGGAUAUCAAGUUUCUGCUGAGCUGCAAGAGUUGCCUGUGUGUUCACUGCUCCCCCACAGCAAAUGCAAGCUGUCAAGGAGGAGAAGAAGAAAGAAGUAAAUCAGCUUCACAGAACAAGUUUUCCAACCCUAAGUUUUAAUGAAGUUUCUAUAUCCUGGCUUUUUAUGGUUUAUGUUCCAAGCCUAUCAUUAUUCAAGGGUCUGAAUUGUUCUUUAUUUUUUUAACUCCUUUGCUUUUUAAAGUGAAAAGAAGAGAGUCAAAAGUCUUUAAUGGAAAGUUCUCCAACG
Long non-coding RNA from Gallus gallus (chicken), 571 nucleotides. Lineage: Eukaryota; Metazoa; Chordata; Aves; Galliformes; Phasianidae. The record is from Ensembl.